AAGAGACAGCAGUAGCCGCGGUAAUACGUAGGUGGCGAGCGUUGUCCGGAUUUAUUGGGCGUAAAGGGAGUGUAGGCGGUCUUUUAAGUCUGAUGUGAAAGCCCACGGCUCAACCGUGGAGGGUCAUUGGAAACUGGGAGACUUGAGUGCAGAAGAGGAGAGCGGAAUUCCAUGUGUAGCGGUGAAAUGCGUAGAUAUAUGGAGGAACACCGGUGGCGAAAGCGGCUCUCUGGUCUGUAACUGACGCUGAGGCUCGAAAGCGUGGGGAGCGAACAGGAUUAGAUACCCCCGUAGUCCCUGUCUCUUAUAA
This 310-nucleotide ribosomal RNA is filed under the name uncultured bacterium. RNAcentral's name for it is "partial 16S ribosomal RNA". It matches the Rfam family "Bacterial small subunit ribosomal RNA", at positions 503 to 809 of the family's 1533-position model. The record is from RNAcentral.